AUCGCUUCUCGGCCUUUUGGCUAAGAUCAAGCGUAGUAUCUGUUCUUAUGAGAAAUUGUUGGAAAUUGUCUUAAUCUCAAACCAAAAUUAAAUUUUUUAAAAGAAAUUCAAGUCAGCAACUCAC
RNAcentral lists this small nuclear RNA (124 nucleotides) under Mesocricetus auratus (golden hamster). RNAcentral describes it as "U2 spliceosomal RNA". It matches the Rfam family "U2 spliceosomal RNA". Rfam says of the family: U2 is a small nuclear RNA (snRNA) component of the spliceosome (involved in pre-mRNA splicing). Complementary binding between U2 snRNA (in an area lying towards the 5' end but 3' to hairpin I) and the branchpoint sequence (BPS) of the intron results the bulging out of an unpaired adenosine, on the BPS, which initiates a nucleophilic attack at the intronic 5' splice site, thus starting the first of two transesterification reactions that mediate splicing. Lineage: Eukaryota; Metazoa; Chordata; Mammalia; Rodentia; Cricetidae. The record is from Rfam by way of RNAcentral.